This is a long non-coding RNA of Pistacia vera, 1066 nucleotides long. RefSeq lists it as uncharacterized. The record is from RefSeq and is a predicted model, not a curated record. NCBI's taxonomy places the organism in Eukaryota, Viridiplantae, Streptophyta, Magnoliopsida, Sapindales, Anacardiaceae. The transcript has 4 exons.
CCACAGUCUCAAACACCUCUUAAAUCUUCCUCCUCAUUCUCUGUCUCCUCAUCGCCUUCGCUCAUCAAUGCUUCAUUUCCUCUGACUCUAAACUUUUCCUCAAGGGUCACACCCUCAUCCAUUGUUUCGCUUCUCUCCAAUCCGCUCUUGUUUCCUUCCUCUUUCUCAUCCUCUCCGUUUCUCUCUUAAUCUCCGAGUCAAUUUCUCUCCUUCCCUUCCCCUCUAAACUUUUCUUCGCUCUCGCUACCGUUGUUUUUUACCUCCAAUAUUCUAUCUCCUCUGUCGUUGCCUCUGUUCAUACCUCCCAUUCCCACGAUCGAUUGCGCCUGCACCUCGGUUGUGUGCCUGACUCGUGCACCAUGGGUCAUACCAAAUUGUGCGCCUUUGCUGUCUCCUUGGAUAGAUCGCAUCGAUUGUUGCCUCACCAACCUCCUUGCUCACGCGACUGCCUCUGCGCGCGUUCGUUGUUUUGUUGAUUGUGGGUUGUGGCUUGAUUGUUGUUUGUUUGUUAGAGCGGAUUUGUUUGAAUUGGUUGGGUUUGAGUUUGGGUUUCUGAAACUAGUUGUCAGUAGGACCAAGAUUUUAAAUGUUUGGACUCUAUGUGGUUUUAUCUAUACACAAUAUAAUCUCACAGAUUGAAGGUGCUAAAAUGGAUUAAGAAAUAAGAGAUAUUCUCAAAUAAGUAUGUAUUCAUUCCCAUUGUCUUAUGGGGUCACUAGAAUCUAUUGAACUUGUGAAACUUUGGUGGAAGAUCACGAUCACAACCUAUAACUCACUGCAUGUUAUUGCUAGAUUCAGUUCGAAUGGCUAACCGCCUAACCCAAUGGGGUUUGAACCUUUGUUAAGAAAGUUUGCCCUGGACAUUUAUGAAGCGGAAACAAUCCCUGAAAAGAAGGACAUGGUUGCUCAAAAUCCUCUCAUGGUGUCUGAGGUUCCUCAGCAAAGGAACAAAACUGAUUGCGGAUAUUUUGUCCUUUCUUAUAUAAGUAAGUUUGUGCAAUGUGUCCCAAUGAAUUUUUGCGUUACUAAGGGCUACCCUUACUUUGUAAGUUAUGUAGUCUUGCUU